UUGGCGAUAAAAGAGGUAUGUCAUGAAUAGUAUGUUAUGAGAGGUAAUAAUGAUUAAAUCAAUUUUUUAUAGGUCAUAUUUAAUAGAAUAAUUUAAUAAAUAUAACAAUAAUUAAUAGAUGCUUCGAUGAACUUGUUAAGUGAUUAAUCAAUCUCAAUUGACAGAUUGAUUAAUUAGAUUAAAUGAUUAAAUGAAUUUUUGUAUAGGUUAUGUUUAAUAGAAGGUUGCGAAAUUGUUGAAGAUACUGUUAAAUUAUUUUCACGAUAUUUGGCAACGGAAGAGAUAAUAAGUAGCGCGUUAUGGGAGUCAUGACGACGAUCAGGGUGGUCCUCUCUCACGGUUCGAGAAACCGCGUUCUGGAACCGAUGUAUACACGGUGCACGCGUCGUCAACGGGGACGUCUACGUCGCGUCGUGGAUGCCGCGCUGCCAGAAAGAAAGUCGACUCGAAAAUCAAACAAACAGCCGACGACGCCGCGUUUCUGCACUUCCGUCGUCGCCGUUUGUUUAUUGUCGCUGAGGGAUCGCUGCCCUGGUGAUCCGUGUACCGUUUAAUGCCGCGUUUCACACAUUAUGUAAUUCUUUCACGUGCCAGUUAUAAGUACAAAAUCAUUUAUUCUUUGAAUAAUCACAGUUAUCUUCAAUAAUGUUAACAGUAUUGUCUUCUUUGCUUUUGUCAUCUUUUACUUAAUCCUGUUCCUCUUUAUUAUUAUUAACGAAGAAAAUUAAUAAUAGUAAUGCUCAAUGAAUGUUUGAUAAGGAUCCAACAGAUUUCAUGAGAUUUGCUUCAUAUGUUAAAUUUUGAAUCUGUUUUUAGAAAGAUAAUAUCGAUGGAAGAAUUCGAUAAGUAAGUAUUUUUAAAGAAGAUGGUAAAAAAGAGAAGAAGAGAUUAGCCUGUAAAGGGAAGAAAUUGUGAAACGUCGAUUCUUUACAGCCUUGUAAGACGGACCUAAUGAAACGUAAUUCAUUCCCAUGCACCUUGAGGAGACAUCGUCUGGCGAACACAUGUCUCCAUUGGAUUUUAUCCAUUAGGAAAAAGUGCGCCCUUCGUCGCAUGACAUUGGCCGCCGUCGAACAUUGAAACUCGAACUCGCUAAUUCUCCAGAUGCUGGCUCGACUCAAAGGGUUAUUAAACAUAUUUUUAUGUCCGCGUCGAUGGAAAUAUUUAGACCCCCAGAGCGUCAUCUCAGCUUCAAUUAUCCUCCUACUGAGAAAAUGGAUAGCCGUCGACUAGACAAAUUGAGGAAAACAGUUGUCUGAUAGUCACAUCUGUUCCCGGAUUAUGAGCACGAUAAAUUUCAGCCUGUGAAGCUAACAGCCGGAUUAGCGAGCGUUGUCGCGGUGUCAACGAGAGUUAAGUACAAGAAGUACGAUCUUUUGGGAACGUCGAUGUGGCAAGAAGACCGGAAAUGAAAGAAAACAGCGGGCACUGUUCGCAAACAGAGAAGCUCGUCAAGAGUCUCUGGACUUAUUGUCAUCGCUAUUCUGCCACGGCUACCUAACGUGCAUGUGCGGAUUCUGUACGCAUUUCAGAAAUGCCUACUUCAAACACACGUGUUCGCCAUCAGGUUGCCCAAGUGGUUGCUUGACCUUCGCAUUUUUACUUUUUGAACUCUUUCUACUAGAUCUUUCUUUUAUCUUACAAAAAUGCUUUAUCUUCACUAUUAAAGUAUCAAAAAUUCUAAGAAGGAUUCUUCUAACAGUUAAUUAAUUUCAUUUUUGACAGCUCUCUAAAUUAUACAUACAUAAAUUGUUAUUAUUGCGACUUGAAAGUUUUAGAAGAUAAUAAUAAUACAACAAUCGCAGUGAAUUUUUUGAUGCUAGAUUUCGUAGGAAAUUAUAUUUUAUUUUCCUAAAUAAUGUCUCUGGUAUUGCGCUUAUCAGUAAAAUAUUUUAUUUUCAUUAUACGUUUAUUUAAUAUUUUUAUUUAUGAAACAGUGCUGAUCUCCAUAUAAUUUCACCUAACCCCAAUCAUUUUUAUGUAGACGAUUUUUUUGGAUGGAACAAGAGGUCAGAGGUGACCACCAUGGACUCCGGAUUGAAUUUCCGAAUCAACGUCUUCGAGGAGGUAUUAGCCCCACGUGAAUACCGUGGUCCCCGAUGUCGAGGUCGUGAAUUGGUAAAAAAGGGCCUCACGGAUCGUUGUGGCCUGGUUGGGCCUCUGGAAUCCUCAGUGGGGGUCCCACGGAUGGGUUCUUUCGUUUUUCUCCUGAUCCCGGAGGAAUCAUUGUCGUUUCCUCUGCUCAACGCUUUCUUUCAACGCUUUCUCAUAUCUCCAGUCUUUUUCAUAUCGGGCAAGUAUUUCCUAACAUAAUUGAUUAACAAUUGCUACAACCUACAUAUAUCUAAUACAGGGUGAACAAUAUAUGCUGACUAAUUUCAAAGUCCCAUCCUUCUGGAACGAUGUAUCAUUUUUUGUGCCGCACUAGAAAUUAUGUUAUGGAUGCAUGGCAAAGUAAACAAGUAGCCAUCCAUCAAGGAUGUACACAGUUCUGAUGACAUCACACUUGAUAUAUUAGAAAGAAAUAUGAAGUGGCACUACAAUUUUACGAAACGAAUUUAUAUUUAAUAAAAGCAAUGAAUAAAUGUAUAUAAUAUAUAUAUAAAAUAGACUUUUAUUAUAGUGAAAAAUUUUUAAUAUAAAAGUUACUAAAAUUUAUGGUGUAUCAAUCAUAAACUUUCUUUUGUCCAUUACUAUAUCUAUUAAGUAUUUAAUAAUUGUUCUUUCCAUCCUAAUGCUUUUUAAUUAUAGCAAAAUUGAACUCCAAAGUAACGAAGAAAAGUAGGAGCAACGUGGUAAUGAAAAAAAAAGAAAAGCCAGGAAAUUUGAAACUAGUGAUCCAUUAUGCAGCAAAGAUAUGUAUGUAAUUUGAAGUAAAGUAAAUAAUAAUAGAGAGGAGGGCAAUGUUUUUUUAAACUGCAGCAGAGCUGGAAAAAGAAGAAAAGUAGAAGUAACAUGGCAGCAAAGUAAAAAAGGAGGAAAGCUGAGAAAAAAAUGUUGAAAGUUGAAACUAAUGGCGGAGUCGAGGCUACUAAUUGCCAUGGAAAUUUCGCAGGGUCUGGUGAAUUCGUUCAGGAGGUCCCGUGGCACAGUCGAGGUCGAGAGUUGAAUCUAAAUGAUCCUGAUUCUCGGAAGGAGAGGACCAUCAGGACACGCGACACUUCCCAAGUCGAAGGAAGCGUGCCCUCUCUUAUUUUUUCCUCCUGCUUGGAACCCUGUGGUUGCUACAGGCCCCUGGAAUCAUCCUGGUGAAAGAUUCAUCGUUGCUGUUUCAGCGGACUCUGUAUAUGUUACCAACUGAUGCAAUUUGUAGAACUUUGGUAAAAAAAAAAGGAGAAAACCAGUCUCCAGGGAUGAAUUUUACAAUAGAAAUGGCAUAGGAAACAAAAUCAAAAACAUAAGUAAAUUUUCAAGUCAGCUACUGAUAAUAUCAAUGUAUAUAGUCUUUAAAAAUAUUAGAUAAAACAUAAAAAAAUCUGGAUAGCCUUAAUAAAUAUUAAAUAUUAUUAAACGUUAAAUAUUAAAUGAAAUAUCAGUGUCAAUAAUAUUGAGAUAUAUUAAUAACAAUAAUUAUAUUUUUAGUUUGAUUUAUAAGAAGAUAAAAAGAAGAAAUGUGUGUUGUGUGUGGAGAAAACUACUGACGCCAUUUUCUUUAGAAUCCCCUUUAUUUGGUGCGGACCAAUUGUAAACGAGUCUCACCUGUACAUUAUCUCUCACCUGUGCUUUAGUCUCCUAUUGGAGGAUUAAGAGCAGGUAACAGGCAAGUGUCCCCACC
Bombus pyrosoma is the source of this 3775-nucleotide long non-coding RNA. RefSeq lists it as uncharacterized. Lineage: Eukaryota; Metazoa; Arthropoda; Insecta; Hymenoptera; Apidae. The record is from RefSeq and is a predicted model, not a curated record. The transcript has 3 exons.